UACGUAGGGUGCAAGCGUUAAUCGGAAUUACUGGGCGUAAAGCGUGCGCAGGCGGUUUUGUAGGACCGAUGUGAAAUCCCCGGGCUUAACCUGGGAACUGCAUUGGUGACUGCAAGGCUUGAGUGUGUCAGAGGGAGGUGGAAUUCCGCGUGUAGCAGUGAAAUGCGUAGAUAUGCGGAGGAACACCGAUGGCGAAGGCAGCCUCCUGGGAUAACACUGACGCUCAUGCACGAAAGCGUGGGGAGCAAACAGG
This 253-nucleotide ribosomal RNA is filed under the name uncultured bacterium. RNAcentral's name for it is "partial 16S ribosomal RNA". It matches the Rfam family "Bacterial small subunit ribosomal RNA", at positions 524 to 776 of the family's 1533-position model. The record is from RNAcentral.